Molecule: ribosomal RNA, 492 nt
Filed under: uncultured bacterium
Lineage: Bacteria
Description: partial 16S ribosomal RNA
Rfam family: Bacterial small subunit ribosomal RNA
Source: RNAcentral
AGUGAACGCUGGCGGUAGGCCUAACACAUGCAAGUCGAACGGCAGCACAGUAAGAGCUUGCUCUUACGGGUGGCGAGUGGCGGACGGGUGAGGAAUACAUCGGAAUCUACUUUUUCGUGGGGGACAACGUAGGGAAACUUACGCUAAUACCGCAUACGACCUACGGGUGAAAUUAGGGGAGCUUCGGACCUUGCGCGAUUGAAUGAGCCGAUGUCGGAUUAGCUAGUUGGCGGGGUAAAGGCCCACCAAGGCGACGAUCCGUAGCUGGUCUGAGAGGAUGAUCAGCGACACUGGAACUGAGACACGGUCCAGACUCCUACGGGAGACAGCAGUGGGGAAUAUUGGACAAUGGGCGCAAGCCUGAUCCAGCCAUACCGCGUGGGUGAAGAAGGCCUUCGGGUUGUAAAGCCCUUUUGUUGGGAAAGAAAAGCAUCAGGUUAAAACCCCGCUGUUCUGACGGUACCCAAAGAAUAAGCACCGGCUAACUACGUG